UUCCUGAUGUUUGGUUGGAAUCUCCUUUCUUGUAACUUGAACCCAUUGGUUCGUGGAGCAGGAGAAAACAAGCUUGCUCCAUCCACCAUGUGACAGCCCUUGGAAUAUCUGAAGAUGGCUAUCAUAUCUCCUCUCAGUCUCCUCUUUUCCAGGCUAAACAUACCCAGCUCCUUCAAC
This is a non-coding RNA of Podarcis lilfordi (Lilford's wall lizard), 177 nucleotides long. Lineage: Eukaryota; Metazoa; Chordata; Lepidosauria; Squamata; Lacertidae. The record is from the annotation of a GenBank genome assembly.